This is a long non-coding RNA of Gasterosteus aculeatus aculeatus (three-spined stickleback), 1002 nucleotides long. The record is from Ensembl. NCBI's taxonomy places the organism in Eukaryota, Metazoa, Chordata, Actinopteri, Perciformes, Gasterosteidae.
CCCCAUCACGCGCCUCACAGUCCCCCCCGCGGGGCUCACGAGCUGAUGAGACCCGGGUGCGACGCGACCUUUGACCUCAUCGCUGUCGCGUGAACGAACGAUCUUAACGCCGCUUCGCCUUUUCCUUCCGCCGAACCCGCCGCGGCUGCAGGACGUUUACAAGUUGUCAGGGAGCUGCUGCUGCCGUGGUACGUCACCUCGGUGGAUCCCCUCCUCGUGCUCAAUAUAUCUUCUGUCUCCCCCCCCCCCCCCCCCCCCCGCCCGCCUUCCCUUCCCACCCUCCUCCCCGCCGCAUAUGGGAUUCACAUUUGGCCGCGCUGAGCAUUUCCUUAAUGUGAUGUUAUGAUACAUCAUCUGAAGCCGUUUACUCCCUGUCACCACCCCUCGUGUGGACACAAGCUGACGGAGGAGCGGCGUCCAGAUUCUGUCCAGCCUGCCGCUGGUGUGUCAUAAGUCUUCAGCCUGUCCUGCUGCUGGCUAUCGAAGGUGUGUGUGUGUGUGUGUGUGUGGGAACAGAAGGUGAGAAAUUUGGGGGUCAGCCCGGGUCCUUCAGGUAAUUGUGCUUCUUAAACUUCUGACCCACUAAGCCGUACUUAGUGUGGCGCUCGCUCCCCUUAUUUCCCCCGAGAGUUUUGACUCUGCAUACCAGGACGUGUGUGUGUGUGUGUGUGUGUGUGUGUGUUUCUGAUACAAUGAGUGUCUGAGCACAUGUGGUCAGCUUCACACGAGCUCAUCCUUCCUCAUCUGCUCUGGCAUGGCGCUCACUGUCCUGCCCACACAGUCUGACCGCUCCGUCUCUAAAACAAUCAGCCUAUAAAGAUGUAGUCGUUUGUCACGUAGGUGAAAAUAGGUUAUUUUGACAGGUUGGUCUCUGUGAGGCACGUUACAGGAAUGCGCGCUCAGGCACCGGACGAUCUGGAUUAUUCCCAUGACUCAAUUUAGGGGAUUUUACCUUCGCCGUCGGUGUGCGUUUUAAUGUGAUCGAACUCAAGCCACCAAACC